This 619-nucleotide ribosomal RNA is filed under the name uncultured Agrobacterium sp. RNAcentral's name for it is "bacterial SSU rRNA". It matches the Rfam family "Bacterial small subunit ribosomal RNA", at positions 41 to 710 of the family's 1533-position model. The record is from RNAcentral. Lineage: Bacteria; Pseudomonadati; Pseudomonadota; Alphaproteobacteria; Hyphomicrobiales; Rhizobiaceae.
GGCAGGCUAUUCAUGCAAGUCGAGCGCCCCGCAAGGGGAGCGGCAGACGGGUGAGUAACGCGUGGGAAUCUACCUUUUGCUACGGAAUAACUCAGGGAAACUUGUGCUAAUACCGUAUGUGCCCUUCGGGGGAAAGAUUUAUCGGCAAAAGGGAUGAGCCCGCGUUGGAUUAGCUAGUUGGUGGGGUAAAGGCCCACCAAGGCGACGAUCUAGCUGGUCUGAGAGGAUGAUCAGCCACACUGGGACUGAGACACGGCAAAGACUCCUACGGGAGGCAGCAGCAUGGGGAAUAUUGGACAAUGGGCGCAAGCCUGAUCCAGCCAUGCCGCGUGAGUGAUGAAGGCCCUAGGUGUAAAGCUCUUUCACCGGUUUGAAGAUAAUGACGGUAACCGGAGAAGAAGCCCCGGCUAACUUCGUGCCCAGCCGCGGUAAUACGAAGGGGGCUAGCGUUGUUCGGAUUUACUGGGCGUAAAGCGCACGUAGGCGGACUUUUAAGUCAGGGGUGAAAUCCCAGAGCUCAACUCUGGAACUGCCUUUGAUACUGGAAGUCUUGAGUAUGGUAGAGGUGAGUGGAAUUCCGAGUGUAGAGGUGAAAUUCGUAGAUAUUCGGAGGAACACC